GCAAGGGUGAUGUAGUGGUUAACACAUCUGCCUAGCGAGCAGAAGACCCAGGUUCGAACCCUGGCCUUGGUA
Schistocerca serialis cubense is the source of this 72-nucleotide non-coding RNA. NCBI's taxonomy places the organism in Eukaryota, Metazoa, Arthropoda, Insecta, Orthoptera, Acrididae. The record is from the annotation of a RefSeq genome assembly.